CCCAUUGCAUUGAUUCGUAGAGAAAGAAGGAAAAUGUCAAAAGAAGAGAAAAGGAAAGGAAAACGCAUCCCAUUCCCAUCCCCCACCCAUCUCUCUCCCCUCGCCGCCGCCGUCGUCGCGAUUCCGGCGAGUUUCGGCGGCACGCAGCAGCGCACCGCCGACACCACCUCGCUCCGGCCCUUCCUCCUCCCCGUGGCUAGGGUCGCGGGCAUGUCCCUGGCUCGAGCUGCUCAGAUCCACGCCGCCGUCCUCCUCCACAACCACGCAGCGGCGGCGGAGGACGCGAAGGAGCCAUGCCAUGGACCCCAAACCCUUGCUCGCGGCCAUGGAUCUGCAGGCAGGAGGAGUCUUCUCCCUCCAUGGACAUGGAGGUCCGCCGUGGAAGAAGGCCUGGAGCUCGUCAUGGACGAGAAAACGGCAGAAAUCUGAAACCUUUUAUUCAGAAACUCUUCUUCAGAGAAAAUAUGCCCAUCCAUAUUUGCAGACUUGCUCCAACUCUUCUUCAGAGACGAGAAAACUGCAGAAAUCUGGAACCUUUUACUAGUUCCUUCUUUAUUCAGAUAACUGCAGCAGAUUUAUCUUAAGGUUGAUGAUAGUAACCACACAUACUAACUUGAUAAUCUUGAUCUCCUCAGGAGCAAGACCACCGCUGCUCGACGCCAUGGAGAUCGAUCGUCAAGGACCAUUACCAGGACUCCAACUCCUCCAUGGAAGGGCCACCAACAGCUCCGGUCUUCUCCAUGGACUCCAACUCCUCGGAUGCACUCCCUGAUGCAUCAUGCGCGCAUGCCUACAAGGAGGCUCUGCUUCUUCCUGGGUCGCCAUGGGAUGGAAGGCAUGCUCUGCUUUUCAAUGCCCAUCUACCCGUGUUUGCUUGUUGCUGCAACUUGUAUUCGGACCGAGCUAGACAAAACUGCAAAAAUCUCAUACUUUUACUUCCUUCUUUAUUCAUAAAACUGGAAACUCUGCAGCAGAUUAUUCUUCAGGUUGAUACUAACUUGGCAAUGUUGCUGUUCCGAGACCCCGCUGCCGCUGCCGCUGCGGACGCCAUGUAGACCGUCAAGGCGCAGACUGUUGUGUGCCGCCUCUUCCAUGGGCGUCCACGCCAUGGAGCUCCUUAAGACACCCUCAAUGAUGACCAAGGUGGAGUGCAGGACAUCGAGGACAUGAUAUGAACCGCCGUUCCAGACGCCCGCCUCGGGGAAGGAGCACUCCAUCCCGCUGAUAACAAUGUUUUGAAAGAGGAGAUGACGGAUUUGGUGGAGGAGAGGAACUCCCUCAAGGACGAAAAGAGGAGCCCUGUGUACAGAAAACUUGUGAUGCUGCUUUGUCAAGUGCUUGUGUGGUGGUUUCGAUUUGACCUAGAAGACCGCCGCUUCGCUCCUCCGGGUCUGCUUAUUCCCGGGUCGCCGCUGCUCCCACGAUGGAGCAAACGCUUGUCUUGUUUUUCUGUAGCAUUCACCAUGCAUGUCUCGUGUGAUCCUUGUGCAGGC
Triticum aestivum (bread wheat) is the source of this 1493-nucleotide long non-coding RNA. RefSeq lists it as uncharacterized. Lineage: Eukaryota; Viridiplantae; Streptophyta; Magnoliopsida; Poales; Poaceae. The record is from RefSeq and is a predicted model, not a curated record. The transcript is spliced from 5 exons.